CACGAAAGUGUGGGGAUCAAACAGGAUUAGAUACCCUGGUAGUCCACACAGUAAACGAUGAUAACUCGCUGUCGGCGAUACACAGUCGGUAGUCAAGCGAAAGCGAUAAGUUAUCCACCUGGGGAGUACGACCGCAAGGUUGAAACUCAAAGGAAUUGACGGGGGCCCGCACAAGCGGAGGAACAUGUGGUUUAAUUCGAUGAUACGCGAGGAACCUUACCCGGGCUCGAACUGGUACAUGAACGAUCCAAGAGAUUGAGAGGUCCUUCGGGACAUGUAUCGAGGUGCUGCAUGGUUGUCGGCAGCUCGUGCUCGUGAGGUGUCGGCUUAAGUGCCAUAACGAGCGCAACCCUUGUUGAUAGUUACCAUCAGGUAAAGCUGGGGACUCUAUCAAGACUGCCGCCGUAAGCGUGUGAGGAAGGGGGGGAUGACGUCAAAUCAGCACGGCCCUUAUCGUUCCGGGGCGACACACGUGUUACAAUGGUAGGUACAGAGGGCAGUCAGGUAGCGAUACCGCACAAAUCUCAAAAAC
This 532-nucleotide ribosomal RNA is filed under the name uncultured Bacteroidota bacterium. Its description in RNAcentral is "bacterial SSU rRNA". It matches the Rfam family "Bacterial small subunit ribosomal RNA", at positions 752 to 1282 of the family's 1533-position model. The record is from RNAcentral. Lineage: Bacteria; Pseudomonadati; Bacteroidota.